This 88-nucleotide ribosomal RNA is filed under the name Gnetum gnemon. The record is from RNAcentral. Lineage: Eukaryota; Viridiplantae; Streptophyta; Gnetopsida; Gnetales; Gnetaceae.
UCCCAUCAGAACUCCGCAGUUAAGCGCGCUUGGGCUAGAGUAGUACUGGGAUGGGUGACCUCUCGGGAAGUCCUAGUGUUGCACCCUC